RNAcentral lists this ribosomal RNA (137 nucleotides) under uncultured eukaryote. RNAcentral describes it as "partial 18S ribosomal RNA". It matches the Rfam family "Eukaryotic small subunit ribosomal RNA", at positions 1299 to 1458 of the family's 1831-position model. The record is from RNAcentral.
UGGUGGAGUGAUUUGUCUGCUUAAUUGCGAUAACGAACGAGACCUUAACCUGCUAAAUAGCCAGGCUUGCUUUUGCAGGUCGCCGGCUUCUUAGAGGGACUAUCGGCUCAAGCCGAUGGAAGUUUGAGGCAAUAACA